RNAcentral lists this ribosomal RNA (465 nucleotides) under uncultured bacterium. Its description in RNAcentral is "partial 16S ribosomal RNA". It matches the Rfam family "Bacterial small subunit ribosomal RNA", at positions 28 to 507 of the family's 1533-position model. The record is from RNAcentral.
GACGAACGCUGGCGGCGUGCUUAACACAUGCAAGUCGAACGGAAAGGCCCUGCUUGCAGGGUACUCGAGUGGCGAACGGGUGAGUAACACGUGGGUGAUCUGCCCUGCACUUCGGGAUAAGCCUGGGAAACUGGGUCUAAUACCGGAUAGGAGCCAUUUUUAGUGUGAUGGUUGGAAAGUUUUUUCGGUGUAGGAUGAGCUCGCGGCCUAUCAGCUUGUUGGUGGGGUAAUGGCCUACCAAGGCGGCGACGGGUAGCCGGCCUGAGAGGGUGGACGGCCACAUUGGGACUGAGAUACGGCCCAGACUCCUACGGGAGGCAGCGGUGGGGAAUAUUGCACAAUGGGCGCAAGCCUGAUGCAGCGACGCCGCGUGGGGGAUGACGGCCUUCGGGUUGUAAACUCCUUUCGCUAGGGACGAAGCUUUUUGUGACGGUACCUAGAGAAGAAGCACCGGCUAACUACGUG